RNAcentral lists this unclassified non-coding RNA (469 nucleotides) under Bombus terrestris (buff-tailed bumblebee). Its description in RNAcentral is "misc RNA ENSBTSG00005038382.1". The record is from RNAcentral. Lineage: Eukaryota; Metazoa; Arthropoda; Insecta; Hymenoptera; Apidae.
UUCAACUCUUUCGUAGUCGUUUUUAUUUCCUCUUCUUAUACCUCCAUUUUUAUAAAUUACAAAGAAUCAAGUAAAAAAGUCUACUGUGCGUUACAAGUAUCGUAAAAAACCGUUUCUUUGCUCGGGGAUAGAGGUCGAGUGGUCUAACACCGGGCUAAUGAUUUUUCUAAUUCUACGUGACAGCGUCGCGCGAAUCCAAAAGUAAGGAGUUAACAGGAAGAGACGUAUAAAAAUAAUUUAUUCGCACCUCGCGGAGCGUGGGCUUCGCUCCGUCGCGCGGCUCGGUCAACCUGAACGCGUGAAACUGAACGCAGAGUUGUUCGCGGUAGGAUCAUCCGUACCAUCUCUUCGACAACGUCGAUGAUCCAGCGAUCCACGUGAGACUACGGAAACGUCCUUCGCCAGGAAGGAGGUAGUCUGUUCGGGAGAAAAGGGACCGAGUAUAGAGGAGAGAGAGAAAGGCCUAGAG